Molecule: ribosomal RNA, 360 nt
Filed under: uncultured bacterium
Lineage: Bacteria
Description: bacterial SSU rRNA
Rfam family: Bacterial small subunit ribosomal RNA
Source: RNAcentral
ACUCUCGUGUCAGAGUUUGAUCCUGGCUCAGGACGAACGCUGGCGGCGUGCCUAAUACAUGCAAGUCGAACGAAACUUUCUUACACCGAAUGCUUGCAUUCAUCGUAAGAAGUUGAGUGGCGGACGGGUGAGUAACACGUGGGUAACCUGCCUAAAGAAGGGGAUAACACUUGGAAACAGGUGCUAAUACCGUAUAUCUCUAAGGAUCGCAUGAUCCUUAGAUGAAAGAUGGUUCUGCUAUCGCUUUUAGAUGGACCCGCGGCGUAUUAACUAGUUGGUGGGGUAACGGCCUACCAAGGUGAUGAUACGUAGCCGAACUGAGAGGUUGAUCGGCCACAUUGGGACUGAGACACGGCCCAA